RNAcentral lists this ribosomal RNA (254 nucleotides) under uncultured bacterium. Its description in RNAcentral is "partial 16S ribosomal RNA". It matches the Rfam family "Bacterial small subunit ribosomal RNA", at positions 524 to 776 of the family's 1533-position model. The record is from RNAcentral.
GACGAACCGUGCAAACGUUACUCGGAUUCACUGGGCUUAAAGGGCGCGUAGGCUGUUCGUUAAGUCGCGGGUGAAAUCUUUCGGCUCAACCGGAAAAUUGCCCCCGAUACUGGCGAGCUCGAGGGAGGUAGGGGCAGCGGGAACUGCCAGUGGAGCGGUGAAAUGCGUUGAUAUUGGCAGGAACGCCGGUGGCGAAAGCGCGCUGCUGGAUCUCUCCUGACGCUGAGUGCGCGAAAGCUAGGGGAGCAAACGGG